This 484-nucleotide ribosomal RNA is filed under the name uncultured bacterium. Its description in RNAcentral is "partial 16S ribosomal RNA". It matches the Rfam family "Bacterial small subunit ribosomal RNA", at positions 30 to 507 of the family's 1533-position model. The record is from RNAcentral.
AUUGAACGCUGGCGGCAGGCCUAACACAUGCCAGUCGAGCGGAUGAAGGGAGCUUGCUCCUGGAUUCAGCGGCGGACGGGUGAGUAAUGCCUAGGAAUCUGCCUGGUAGUGGGGGAUAACGUCCGGAAACGGGCGCUAAUACCGCAUACGUCCUGAGGGAGAAAGUGGGGGAUCUUCGGACCUCACACUAUCAGAUGAGCCUAGGUCGGAUUAGCUAGUUGGUGGGGUAAAGGCCUACCAAGGCGACGAUCCGUAACUGGUCUGAGAGGAUGAUCAGUCACACUGGAACUGAGACACGGUCCAGACUCCUACGGGAGGCAGCAGUGGGGAAUAUUGGACAAUGGGCGAAAGCCUGAUCCAGCCAUGCCGCGUGUGUGAAGAAGGUCUUCGGAUUGUAAAGCACUUUAAGUUGGGAGGAAGGGCAGUAAGUUAAUACCUUGCUGUUUUGACGUUACCAACAGAAUAAGCACCGGCUAACUUCGUG